CUGUUUUUGUUCAGAGGCUAUUUUCAUUACCGAUACAGAGCAAUGAACUAAUACAAAGGUCGAGUUAUACAUUUUGAGUGCACGAAAACUAGAACCAUAUUAUUUAUAUAUUUACUUAUUUAUUUUGUUAUGUGUGGUUCUUAAUUUUUUUUUUUGCAAGAAUAUAUGUUGUUGAAGUGUAUCAACGUCUUGUGGAAUCAAAAUUUGGUAAUUUGGACAUGAAAAUGUUUAGAACGCUUAUUCUUGAAGUAUAUUAUGCUGGUAAUUUUUCCAAACAGCGUUGGUUCGGCUAAUAUGCUAAAACCUUUAAAUAUUGAAUCUUUGCAGAGUUGAUAAAUGAAAUCACGCUCUUCAUCUUGUUUUCUUAAUGAUGAUAGCUGUGGAGAAUAAGAUGCUUCUUUUGACUACUUCUUUGUUAAAACACUAUGGUUAUGUUUGGAAUUGCUUAUGUCAACAAUAGGAAGCUUGUUCUUUCAUGUGAAUUGAAAUAUAAAAGCAAUGAAAGCCAUUAAGGUUACUGAUAUUACUGUGAGGAUUUGGUCAUUCUUUUGGAAGAAUCUGUAUGAUUCUUAUUCUUGUAGGGAGCAUAAUUGAGGAAGUGUUGCUCCUCGCCCUGGAGCAUAAUUGAGCAAUCAAAGUCACUUGUUUGAGGCCGUUCUUUCGUUGGCUCACCACUAUGAAGAAGGAGCAGUUGACUCCUGCUGAGAUGUUGGCUUGACUGUUCUGGAAGAGAUCUUCCACGUCGAAGGAGAGGUUGCCUGCUGUGGAGUUGACUCAGAGGAUUUUGCUGGAGGAGUCGACUUUGUCUCCACGUUGCCCUAGUGAUCAGUGCAAGGCCCUACAGAAGCUUAACCUAUUUGAAUAUUUCGAUGGAAUUCAGUUCUAAUCCAUUAAGAAAUAUCGCCACGAAAUGGGCAAGAGGAUUCUCCUAGCCACCAACCAUUGAGAGCCUUGCCAACCGUUAUAACGACUGAUUGAAAUGCAAAGAGAUGAAAGGCAAUACUCAAGCUCUGCAAUAAAAGCCAAGGAACUAGUGAAGCUUCAUGCCAAUACUCUAAGAUUUGAACAUGCAAAAUUGGCUUACUACAAUAUUACGUUCUAGAUGUUCGGUUUCAUUCUCACGAAUGAAAACAUACGAAUGAACCAUGUGACGUGAGCUCCAAGGUGCCAACCUACAAUGGUGUUGAGAGAGUCUUCUGCCAGUCAAUGCAAAGACAUUUCGCAAUUCUCAGAUUUGUCAACGCAAUGGGAUGAUAAUCCUCAAUUUAAAUGGAAGGUCUUUCACAAAAGGAACAAAUUUCGAGAUAUAUCAAAUGAUCAAUGUUCCAAGAACUAUGAGGCUUUGCUCUAUGGCUGUACCUACAAAUCUUAGAUUGAUCAUCUUCGCUAAAUCUCUACGCAGUUCCUUGAGUUGUUUGUAUUUGCUGAGUUUCAACAGUCUAAUGACUCUGCAGUUUCUAGAUGGAACCAUAAAGUUUCUCGAGUCUAAGGUCUUGGUGUAGCCUAAUUAGUGGCUUAACAAUUAUUGCCUUACACAGAGGGCACAUGCACAUCAACUUUCGUCGAUUUUGUUGAUGGAACUUUGGUGAUUUUACACAUGUAAUUCGAUUACCCUACGAUUUUAAGUUAAUUAGAGAGUACAGUGAGAUUGAAAGUACACUCUUGUAAAUUUCUUAUUCAUCAUAG
Long non-coding RNA from Morus notabilis, 1686 nucleotides. RefSeq lists it as uncharacterized. Lineage: Eukaryota; Viridiplantae; Streptophyta; Magnoliopsida; Rosales; Moraceae. The transcript has 7 exons. The record is from RefSeq and is a predicted model, not a curated record.